This 74-nucleotide transfer RNA is filed under the name Candidatus Parcubacteria bacterium. RNAcentral's name for it is "tRNA-Cys". It matches the Rfam family "tRNA". Rfam says of the family: Transfer RNA (tRNA) molecules are approximately 80 nucleotides in length. Their secondary structure includes four short double-helical elements and three loops (D, anti-codon, and T loops). Lineage: Bacteria; Candidatus Parcubacteria. The record is from RNAcentral.
GGCGUAGUGGCGAAGUGGUCUAACGCGGCAGUUUGCAAAACUGAUAUUCGCCGGUUCAAAUCCGGCCUACGCCU